ACCCUAACUUAUUUUUCUAUUAUAAUUGUACAUGGUCAAUAUAUUGCAAUUGUGCAUGUAACGUCUAAGGUGUGUCCUUAAUAUGAAUUUCAUGUAGAACCCUGUUAAUUAUAUUUUAAAAUUAGAAAUACAAACUUAAUCUUUCUUGCUAGCUGUAAAUAGAGAAAUGGAAGCCGAUGAUUACACACUAUAGAUAGGGUUCAUAAGGCCCAA
RNAcentral lists this long non-coding RNA (213 nucleotides) under Elaeis guineensis (African oil palm). RNAcentral describes it as "long non-coding RNA (EGUI_LNC011343)". Lineage: Eukaryota; Viridiplantae; Streptophyta; Magnoliopsida; Arecales; Arecaceae. The record is from RNAcentral.